AUUGAACGCUGGCGGCAUGCUUUACACAUGCAAGUCGAACGGUAACAGGUUAAGCUGACGAGUGGCGAACGGGUGAGUAAUGCAUCGGAACGUGCCCGGUCGUGGGGGACAACGCAGCGAAAGCUGCGCUAAUACCGCAUACGAUCUGAGGAUGAAAGCGGGGGACCGUAAGGCCUCGCGCGAUCGGAGCGGCCGAUGUCAGAUUAGGUAGUUGGUGGGGUAAAGGCUCACCAAGCCAACGAUCUGUAGCUGGUCUGAGAGGACGACCAGCCACACUGGGACUGAGACACGGCCCAGACUCCUACGGGAGGCAGCAGUGGGGAAUUUUGGACAAUGGGCGAAAGCCUGAUCCAGCAAUGCCGCGUGCAGGAAGAAGGCCUUCGGGUUGUAAACUGCUUUUGUACGGAGCGAAAAGGUCUCCUCUAAUACAGGGGGCUCAUGACGGUACCGUAAGAAUAAGCACCGGCUAACUACGUGCCAGCAGCCGCAGUAA
RNAcentral lists this ribosomal RNA (493 nucleotides) under uncultured bacterium. Its description in RNAcentral is "partial 16S ribosomal RNA". It matches the Rfam family "Bacterial small subunit ribosomal RNA", at positions 29 to 523 of the family's 1533-position model. The record is from RNAcentral.